Molecule: ribosomal RNA, 468 nt
Filed under: uncultured bacterium
Lineage: Bacteria
Description: partial 16S ribosomal RNA
Rfam family: Bacterial small subunit ribosomal RNA
Source: RNAcentral
GACGAACGCUGGCGGCGUGCUUAACACAUGCAAGUCGAACGGAAAGGCCCUGCUUUUGUGGGGUGCUCGAGUGGCGAACGGGUGAGUAACACGUGAGUAACCUGCCCUUGACUUUGGGAUAACUUCAGGAAACUGGGGCUAAUGCCGGAUAGGAGCUCCUGCUGCAUGGUGGGGGUUGGAAAGUUUCGGCGGUUGGGGAUGGACUCGCGGCUUAUCAGCUUGUUGGUGGGGUAGUGGCUUACCAAGGCUUUGACGGGUAGCCGGCCUGAGAGGGUGACCGGCCACAUUGGGACUGGGAUACGGCCCAGACUCCUACGGGAGGCAGCAGUGGGGAAUAUUGCACAAUGGGCGGAAGCCUGAUGCAGCAACGCCGCGUGCGGGAUGACGGCCUUCGGGUUGUAAACCGCUUUCGCCUGUGACGAGGCGUGAGUGACGGUAAUGGGUAAAGAAGCACCGGCUAACUACGUG